CACGUAGGGCGCGAGCGUUGUCCGGAAUUAUUGGGCGUAAAGAGCUCGUAGGCGGCCUGUUGCGUCCGCUGUGAAAGCCCGGGGCUUAACCCCGGGUCUGCAGUGGAUACGGGCAGGCUAGAGGUAGGUAGGGGAGAAUGGAAUUCCCGGUGUAGCGGUGAAAUGCGCAGAUAUCAGGAGGAACACCAAUGGCGAAGGUAGCACUCUGGGGACGGUACUGACGCUGAGACGCGAAAAGCGUGGGGAGCAAACAGG
RNAcentral lists this ribosomal RNA (255 nucleotides) under uncultured bacterium. RNAcentral describes it as "partial 16S ribosomal RNA". It matches the Rfam family "Bacterial small subunit ribosomal RNA", at positions 524 to 776 of the family's 1533-position model. The record is from RNAcentral.